GACGUAGGGGCGAGCGUUGUCCGGAAUUACUGGGCGUAAAGAGCACGUAGGCGGGAACCUAAGUCAGGUGUGAAAGACCGUGGCUCAACCACGGGGUGGCAUUUGAAACUGGGUUUCUUGAGGGCAGGAGAGGAAAGCAGAAUUCCUGGUAUAGCGGUGAAAUGCGUAGAAAUCAGGAGGAAUACCAGUGGCGAAGGCGGCUUUCUGGACUGACCCUGACGCUGAGGUGCGAAAGCGUGGGUAUCAAACAGGAUUAGAUACCCUGGUAGUCCCUGAG
Molecule: ribosomal RNA, 277 nt
Filed under: uncultured prokaryote
Description: partial 16S ribosomal RNA
Rfam family: Bacterial small subunit ribosomal RNA
Source: RNAcentral